AAGGGCUGAAGCAGUGCAGUGGUGUGCAAGGGGAACCUGUUUGCCCUCAAUUAUUAAAGAACGCACUCCCCAAACACUGUUUGUCCUGACUAACCAGCACAUUGCUUUAUCUGCUAAUGAGCUGACUUCCCUGUUAUUCCAAGAGGCACCACAAAUUGCCAGGUGCUUGUACUGCUCAUUUUCCCAGAGGAAGAGCUGCUGUAGGGAACCUAGGCCAGCAGCAAGCCAUGACAGCAAUGGACUUUGGUCCUUUUAGGAGGCAACCCACAGAGAUUUCUCCAGGUACAUGUGCGUAUCUAUAGCAACCUCAAGAGAAAAAUAUGGAUCUGUUACAAAGUGCCGAAAUUGCAGCUUUUUUUCUUUGCUUCAGAUAUCACCUGGAAAGCCAUGCAGAACAUCAUGACAUUCAAGGCUGGAAUUUCUUCUGGGAAUGGCAUAAAACUGAAGUCUUUGCUGAGGUCAAGGACAAUUGAGCUAGACUCCAGGCAGCCGUGUUUGUUGCUAUCCUGCCGACCCCUGCGGGCGCUGGGACCUCAGGGCUGGGGCUGCGUGGCAAAGAGCGCAGGUUGGUGCUGUCACAAUUGUUUGAAGGAUGAAGAAAAAACAACGGGUGAAGAACAGGAAGGCGCAGGAAUAAGGUUUAAGGUCUGCCACAGCUGUAAGGGCCUGGAAGCAGGAGAGGAAUUUCAGAGGAAGAACUGAUGUGAUACUCAGAAACAUGAUGCAGAUCAUCAAGGCUCAAACCAUAGCACAGCUGCUCUUAUCCUGAUGGCUCUUCCAUUUCCCAGCUUCCCCUAGAAUAAAACUUUUGUUUAUUCACA
RNAcentral lists this long non-coding RNA (821 nucleotides) under Chloebia gouldiae (Gouldian finch). Its description in RNAcentral is "Erythrura gouldiae (Gouldian finch) lncRNA (ENSEGOG00005015579.1)". The record is from RNAcentral. Lineage: Eukaryota; Metazoa; Chordata; Aves; Passeriformes; Passeridae.